Molecule: small nuclear RNA, 113 nt
Organism: Terrapene triunguis (Three-toed box turtle)
Lineage: Eukaryota; Metazoa; Chordata; Testudines; Emydidae
Source: Ensembl
AGCUUUUGAAAGCCCAAUAAAAGAUAUAGACUAAAAUUGGAACGAUACAGAGAAGAUUAGCAUGGCCCCUGCGCAAGGAUGAGACACAAAUUUGUGAAGGGCUAUCACCAUGU